AUCAGACUGCGCUGAUCCUCUAUCUCUUCCUCCAUCUUAACGUUGAUUUCUUUCCACUCUGUGAAUGUUUCUCCAGCAGGAGUUACCUGCUCGUUGAUAAACUCUCUCUGAGGCGGAACUGAAGACAUUUUCACUGAAAACACCAAACCUGUUUUCAAACCGUCUUCUCACAAAAGAAAAGCCAAGGCUGUCCCGCGUGCUCUGUUUUUAUAGUUCGUGUGUUUCACUCUGGCUGUACUGAAGAAACAGGAAAUGAUUUUUGGUUCCGCUUUGAAUUUUCUGCUGUGCUUCUUGUCUUUGUAAAAGAAAUUACAAACUUUAUUGAUAGGUUUAUUGUUAGUGGAAAUUUAGAAAAUAGUUUAUUUUAGUUAUAUGUGUAAACUGGGGUUGUGACUCUUAUUGUAUGUUGGUAAAACAUAACGCUUGCAUACUGCUUGCUUGAUAAUUCAAGACCAAGUAUACGUAGGGAGGGAAUGUUUAGUGAGAAUAGAUCAGUCUGGAAAAAACACUGAUGAUGUUGUUGCAAUAACUAAUAAAAUGCUGCUUGAGUGAAAAUGA
This is a long non-coding RNA of Xiphophorus couchianus (Monterrey platyfish), 558 nucleotides long. RefSeq lists it as uncharacterized. Lineage: Eukaryota; Metazoa; Chordata; Actinopteri; Cyprinodontiformes; Poeciliidae. The record is from RefSeq and is a predicted model, not a curated record. The transcript is spliced from 2 exons.